This 240-nucleotide unclassified non-coding RNA is filed under the name soil metagenome. RNAcentral's name for it is "partial contains 5.8S ribosomal RNA, internal transcribed spacer 2, and large subunit ribosomal RNA". The record is from RNAcentral.
AACUGAUACUACCUGCGGGAACCUGCGGAAGGAUCAUUACCGAAGUUACUCUUCACCAAACCCUUAUGUGAACCCUACCCCUCGCCGCGCGGUUGCCUCGGCGGGAGGGUCGGACGGGGCCCCCAGCGGACCCCCCCGGCCCCCCGCCGGCCGCGCCCAACUCUUCUUCUGCAAAGCGGACUGCAUGUUCUGAUUAUAUCUUGAAAACAAGUCAAAACUUUCAACAACGGAUCUCUAGAU